GUGAAUCAUCGAAUUUUUGAACGCAAAUUGCACUCUCUGGUAUUCCGGAGAGUAUGCCUGUUUGAGGGUCAGUUUAAAUGAAAAUCGGUGUGGUUGAUGCGUUUAGUGGUGACGCAGCGGAUGUGGGUCGUCUUGCCUUCGGUUAAGUGACCUAAAGUGUUGCAUGAUUUUUUCGAAAGUGUUUAAUUGAGUGGAUAUACGGUUGAGAA
Molecule: unclassified non-coding RNA, 209 nt
Filed under: Glomeraceae sp.
Lineage: Eukaryota; Fungi; Glomeromycota; Glomeromycetes; Glomerales; Glomeraceae
Description: partial contains 5.8S ribosomal RNA and internal transcribed spacer 2
Rfam family: 5.8S ribosomal RNA (bases 1-71)
Source: RNAcentral